AUGCCUAGUAACUGGCGAGUGAAGCGGCAACAGCUCAAAUUUGAAAUCUGGCUCUUUCAGGGUCCGAGUUGUAAUUUGCAGAGGGCGCUUUGGCGUUGGCAGCGGUCCAAGUUCCUUUGGAACAGGACGUCACAGAGGGUGAGAAUCCCGUACGUGGUCGCUGGCCUCCGCCGUGUAAAGCCCUCUUCGACGAGUCGAGUUGUUUGGGAAUGCAGCUCUAAAUGGGAGGUAAAUUUCUUCUAAAGCUAAAUACUGGCCAGAGACCGAUAGCGCACAAGUAGAGUGAUCGAAAGAUGAAAAGCACUUUGGAAAGAGAGUCAAAUAGCACGUGAAAUUGUUGAAAGGGAAGCGCUUGCAGCCAGACUUGCCUGUAGUUGCUCACCCGGGCUCCUGCCCGGUGCACUCUUCUAUAGGCAGGCCAGCAUCAGUUUGGGCGGUUGGAUAAAGGUCUCUGUCAUGUACCUCUCUUCGGGGAGGCCUUAUAGGGGAGACGACAUGCAACCAGCCUGGACUGAGGUCCGCGCAUUUGCUAGGAUGCUGGCGUAAUGGCUGUAAGCGGCCCGUCUUGAAACACGGACCAAGGAGUCUAACAUCUAUGCGAGUGUUUGGGUGUCAAGCCCGAACGCGUAAUGAAAGUGAACGGAGGUGGGAACCCUUACGGGUGCACCAUCGACCGAUCCUGAUGUCUUCGGAAGGAUUUGAGUAAGAGCAUGGCUGUUGGGACCCGAAAGAUGGUGAACUAUGCUUGAAUAGGGUGAAGCCAGAGGAAACUCUGGUGGAGGCUCGCAGCGGUUCUGACGUGCAAAUCGAUCGUCAAAUUGGGGCAUAGGGGCGAAAGACUAAUCGAACUAUCUAGUAGCUGGU
Molecule: ribosomal RNA, 864 nt
Filed under: Plenodomus agnitus
Lineage: Eukaryota; Fungi; Ascomycota; Dothideomycetes; Pleosporales; Leptosphaeriaceae
Description: eukaryotic LSU rRNA
Rfam family: Eukaryotic large subunit ribosomal RNA
Source: RNAcentral